AGUUUAUAGAAGCGCAACUUAUGGGGUC
This 28-nucleotide non-coding RNA is filed under the name Bombyx mori (domestic silkworm). Lineage: Eukaryota; Metazoa; Arthropoda; Insecta; Lepidoptera; Bombycidae. The record is from RNAcentral.